UACGGGAGGCAGCAGGGGGAAUAUUGCACAAUGGGCGCAAGCCUGAUGCAGCCAUGCCGCGUGUAUGAAGAAGGCCUUCGGGUUGUAAAGUACUUUCAGUCGUGAGGAAGGUGUUAAGGUUAAUAACCUUAGCAAUUGACGUUAGCGACAGAAGAAGCACCGGCUAACUCCGUGCCAGCAGCCGCGGUAAUACGGAGGGUGCGAGCGUUAAUCGGAAUUACUGGGCGUAAAGGGCACGCAGGCGGUUAAUUAAGUUGGAUGUGAAAUCCCCGGGCUUAACCUGGGAAUGGCAUUCAAGACUGGUUAGCUAGAGUCUUGUAGAGGGGGUAGAAUUCCAUGUGUAGCGGUGAAAUGCGUAGAGAUGUGGAGGAAUACCGGUGGCGAAGCGGCCCCUGGGACAAAGACUGACGCUCAUGUGCGAAAGCGUGGGGAGCAAACAGGGAUUAGAUACC
RNAcentral lists this ribosomal RNA (452 nucleotides) under uncultured bacterium. RNAcentral describes it as "bacterial SSU rRNA". It matches the Rfam family "Bacterial small subunit ribosomal RNA", at positions 340 to 786 of the family's 1533-position model. The record is from RNAcentral.